This 253-nucleotide ribosomal RNA is filed under the name uncultured bacterium. RNAcentral describes it as "partial 16S ribosomal RNA". It matches the Rfam family "Bacterial small subunit ribosomal RNA", at positions 524 to 776 of the family's 1533-position model. The record is from RNAcentral.
UACGGAGGGGGCUAGCGUUGUUCGGAAUUACUGGGCGUAAAGGGCGCGUAGGCGGCCUGCUAAGUCGAACGUGAAAUCCCCGAGCUCAACUCGGGAACUGCGUCCGAUACUGGCAGGCUUGAAUCCGGGAGAGGGAUGCGGAAUUCCAGGUGUAGCGGUGAAAUGCGUAGAUAUCUGGAGGAACACCGGUGGCGAAGGCGGCAUCCUGGACCGGCAUUGACGCUGAGGCGCGAAAGCCAGGGGAGCAAACGGG